Molecule: ribosomal RNA, 253 nt
Filed under: uncultured bacterium
Lineage: Bacteria
Description: partial 16S ribosomal RNA
Rfam family: Bacterial small subunit ribosomal RNA
Source: RNAcentral
GACGUAGGGGGCCAGCGUUGUUCGGAAUUAUUGGGCGUAAAGAGCUCGUAGGCGGUUUGUCGCGUCUGCUGUGAAAACCUAGGGCUUAACCCUGGGCCUGCAGUGGGUACGGGCAGGCUAGAGUGUGGUAGGGGAGACUGGAAUUCCUGGUGUAGCGGUGAAAUGCGCAGAUAUCAGGAGGAACACCGAUGGCGAAGGCAGGUCUCUGGGCCACUACUGACGCUGAGAAGCGAAAGCAUGGGGAGCGAACAGG